This 1261-nucleotide long non-coding RNA is filed under the name Heterocephalus glaber (naked mole-rat). Its description in RNAcentral is "lncRNA (ENSHGLG00100046003.1)". The record is from RNAcentral. Lineage: Eukaryota; Metazoa; Chordata; Mammalia; Rodentia; Bathyergidae.
AUGGACUAGAAACCAGCACAGAAUAACUGUCAAUUAAAAUGUAGAUAUUUUAGGGCUGGGAUGUAGCUCAGUGGUUCCGCCAUCUGCCUUGCAAGCGCAAGGUCCUGAAUUUGAUCCCGGUACCCCAAAAAAAGGUAGGUAUUUUAAUCAUGAUCACCGUUAUUAAUAUUAUAUAUUCUUAGUAGAUUAUAUAUCCCCAGAACAAAAAUUAUGUUAAUUAUAAAUGAAACAGUGCUAGGUUCCUGAAAUUACUUGGAUCACAUCAGCAUGGACUGUAGUGGAGGGGACAAGCUUGCGGCUGACUGGUGUGGAGGCUGAGGACGUUUAUCUGCUGCAGAGCUUGGGAUUUGUGUAGGCUGUGGUCUACCUUCAAGGCUUCAGUAUCCUCAUGAAGCCCAGGCGAGGGCUGGAGCCAGCAAGCAAGGCUAAAUGAGAGGGUGAGGAUGAAUAGGGAAAACCUAGCCGCAGGACAGUGCUAUCCCAAGUCAAGGGAUAGGAAAAUCUAGGCUGCAGGGCCUCAGAGCUGAACAAUUCCUGGGAGUGAGACUAGCAGGAACUCUGCCAACCUUUGGGAUCUUAAAUAAGAGGCAGGGCAUGGGGGAAUGAAGAAAAUGUCCUAGUAUAAUUUGGACUGUAAUUAUCUCCUAAAAGCCUGUAGUUUAAAGGUUUGGCUCCAGAAUGGCACUAUUCGGAAAUUCUGAAACUCAGGAAAAUUAGGACCUAGUGGGAGGUCUUUCGGUAGUUGGAGACAUGUCCUUGAAGGGAAAGUGGGAUCUGGAUCACUUCCUCUUUCUCUUUUGCUUCUUGGGACCGAGGUGAACUCUACAACAUGCACUAAUCAUGAUGUGCUGCCGCAUCCAAACCAAUGGGCCCAACUGAUCAUUGGCUGAAACCCGGAAAACCAUGAGCCAAAACCAACCUUUUCUCUUCAUAAGCUGAUUCUCAGCAGAAAGCUGACUAAGCCCAGGGACAUUAAGAUGAUCCAGGAAGUGAGAUGUUGCAAGUGACUAACCACAAACUGCAAAACUGGGCGAGUUGGAUGCAAAUCAGAGGGCUCUUUGACUUUUGAGAUGUUUGCUAGACUUUUCAUAACAUUAGAGUCUACUGGACAUUUCUGUGACCUUCAGCAAGGCUCUGUAACAAAGCAGAACAACUAAGGUAAAUGUUGGCCCAUUGGUGAAGAGAAUGGUAUCUGACAAUGUGGUAUAGGCUUUGUUCCUCCCUGCUAAGCACAGUCACAAACCCUAUAGCAACAUAGGAG